This 502-nucleotide long non-coding RNA is filed under the name Lathyrus oleraceus (garden pea). Its description in RNAcentral is "Pisum sativum (pea) long non-coding RNA (PSAT_LNC027850)". Lineage: Eukaryota; Viridiplantae; Streptophyta; Magnoliopsida; Fabales; Fabaceae. The record is from RNAcentral.
GGAUUUUUAGAUUCCACUCUCAAAAUGUCAGGAGUUGACUUUUCUGGCCCCACAGUUGACUUUUCCCAAACUAUCUGAUUCCCGAUUCCAUUGAUCAAUUGAAGCACUUCUAGCUCAAAUAAAGAGCUGAUUUUUAAGAUUCCACUCUCAAAAUGUCAGGAGUUGACUUUUCUGGCCCCACAGUUGACUUUUCCCAAACUAUCUGAUUCCCGAUUCCAUUGAUCAAUUGAAGCACUUCUAGCUCAAAUAAAGAGCUGAUUUUUUUUAUGUAGACCCUUGUAGACAUAUUGAGGUCCAUGGAAAAGAGUUUCACCCAAAGAAUCAGAAAUAAACUGAUUUUAUACCAAACCCUAGUUUUAGGGCAAAAUGAUAAGGAACUGAUUGCACUAAUUGCCAAUGGAUCUUUCUGAGAUAAUUGUGAAUCUUCCUAGGCCAAGAUGCCUCUCUAAUCAUGACAUGGAUGAGCUCCUCUACUUCUAACCAAACAUUGCCUGUUGCAGGU